RNAcentral lists this ribosomal RNA (449 nucleotides) under uncultured bacterium. RNAcentral describes it as "partial 16S ribosomal RNA". It matches the Rfam family "Bacterial small subunit ribosomal RNA", at positions 29 to 523 of the family's 1533-position model. The record is from RNAcentral.
AACGAACGCUGGCGGCAGGCUUAACACAUGCAAGUCGAACGAGAUCUUCGGAUCUAGUGGCAGGCGGGUGAGGAACACGUGGGAACAGCCCUUUCAGUUCGGAAUAACGUUGGGAAACUAACGCUAAUACCGGAUACGUCCUUCGGGAGAAAGAUUUAUCGCUGAAAGAUUGGCCCGCGUCUGAUUAGUUAGUUGGUGAGGUAAUGGCUCACCAAGGCUACGAUCAGUAGCUGAUCUGAGAGGAUGAUCAGCCACAUUGGGACUGAGACACGGCCCAAACUCCUACGGGAGGCAGCAGUGGGGAAUAUUGGACAAUGGGCGCAAGCCUGAUCCAGCCAUGCCGCGUGAGUGAUGACGGCCUUCGGGUUGUAAAGCUCUUUUGUCCGGGAAGAUAAUGACUGUACCGGAAGAAUAAGCCCCGGCAAACUUCGUGCCAGCAGCCGCCGUAA